CCACCGCACCUGGCCGCAUAUGCACGUUUACAGCAUCACACACAAACACUCCAGGCAGAGAAUGGAACUGAUAGUCACGCCUGUCUGCUGUGGCCUCAGCCCAAAGCUUUUAGUACUUCUGAGCAAGGAGGAGUGUCAGCCUGGCCAGGGUGUCUCACUGGUGUCCAAAAACUACGCCCCUAGUGUUGUUUCUGCUAAUUCUGCCUACAUUGUCCUUACCUGCCUCCUCUUCUGGCUUAUUCCUGCUAAUUUGUUAAGAAUUGACUUGGCACCACCUCCUCCAAGAAGUCUUCCCUGACUUCCCAGUGCUGGGCUAGGUCUUGUUCAGCUAGUUGCAUAGCUUCUGGGGACAAGAGCCACACUUUCCUCUCCCAUGGCGACCCCACCCUUACACUGUCUUGAGAAAGCUGGGAAUACAGUGGGUACUCUGUAUAUGUUAGUUGUGUUUCAGAAUGGUUCCUUUUCCCCUCACCCCAGUCAAGCACAGUGGGAUUUUUCUCCAGUAUUCACUUGGAGACCCUGGUGGGGUUUCUGAAGGUAAGCCUUAUAAAAGUGUGCCCCCCACCCCACGCUGAGCCCCUAGGUUUUAAGUCUUGAGGUAGCCCCCACUCAGCUUGAGCAGUUCGCUGAAGUUGCCUUUUUGUUCCUCCCAGUUCCUGGCUCCAGCAGCCUGUCCUCACUGUGAGCUGUGGUUCUCUGUCUCCGCCUGUCUCUUUAGUUUUAGGGUUGGCUGUUUGUCCUGUAACCUCAAUUUUCUGAGGAUUCUAAGAAAAGUCACUGAUUUUCAGUUUGCUUAACUUUUUUCUGGUUUCAGGGGUGGGAGCUGACAUCUGCCAAUCUGGAAGUUGAUGUGCAUAGGUUGAGUGCACUUGAAUCUUCUCUUUGCUUCUUUGGCGGACCCAGGGUCCAGGGACAGGGAGGGGACAGGGUGGAGACCAGCAGACCCCGUUUUCUCUGACUGGGGCCUGAGGACCUGAAGGGAAUGCAGCCCCUCGGGGACUUCUGUAUUAAACACAGACACACAGACUCCACCGGGCUGUGAUGACUGGGGGUGGGGAGUCAGUCAUAGUGUUUGCACUUAAUUCUGACAACAAAGCUGAGGGUCAUCAGAGCCCGGAGUGGGAGUUUGUUAAAGUGACAGUCACCUGGUGUCAUUCUCACAGCUGAGGACCUCCUGCAUGGCGGGGAGGGUGUGCCUCCUCAUCUCUGAGCGCCCUGCCUGCCAACCUCCCUCCCCCGCCCCUACUUCCUUGGCCUACUUGGGCCUUGGCACCAGGCCUGUGCCAGGGCCCAAGUUGUCUGGCAGCAAAGACACAGUCCCUGUCUGUAGGGGGACGGACACACAGCUCCUUUGCACACAGCUUUGGGACAGGGAGAGGGGCAGAAUCCUAUUUGUCCUAGGAGAAGCUCAGCUCCACCUGGGUGGGACAUGCAGCAGGUGCUCAGUGUUUGUUGACUGACUGAGUGAGGGCUUUCAAGGACCCACACGAUGUCCGCUUCUGCCCAGAGCACCCUGAGCCGACGUACAUGAGGAGUUUCCACUGAGGAGCCAUGUCAGGGCGUGCAGUGUGGGCCUGGAGAGCCAGCACCGGCUUCCUGGUUCCACUGAGCAGCCGCGUCCGCCAACACUCGGUUUCCGGCUUCCUCAUUGCACUGAGCAGCCGCGUCUGCCAACACUCGGUUUUCGGCUUCCUCGUUCCACUGAGCAGCAGCGUCCGCCAACACUUGGUUUCAAGCUUCUUUGGCUUUUCAGGUUUUUUCCCCUCUUAACAAAAUGAUGAAAAUGCACAACAGGCCGAAAUGCCCAAAUCCGUCACUCAUGAUACAUUUUACCAAAGUCAAAAGAAAAAAGAAACGUCCUCCUUAAUCACCUUUCAUAUUUUCAUUAGCAACAUCAAAGCGAUCAGGUCUGGGAAAGCCCAUCUGAGUCAUGUCUCUGGUAAGAAGUUGAUGAAGAAUACAAAGGAACUUGAAUUUCAAAGCCAAGCCUUUAUCUCUCAUUCAUGUUUUCUACUGUGAGGGCUCCCCCAAGACCCAGCCCUGUCAUUCAUUAGGGGAGGGCCUGCAGGUCUGAGCAGACACAGUGUUGCCCACCCUAAAGCAUUCAGUGCAGCCGGUAUGGGUGACCCUGUCCUGAGCCCACUGGAACCCUCAUCUCUCCCCCCAACUGCAACCCAGGGAUAGGAGUUGCUUAACCUCCCUGAGCCUGUUUUCUUAUGUGUUUAUUAGCAGCUGUGGGGCGCCUGCUUCAUGCCUUACUUUGUGCUGGACCAGGUGGUAUGCAAGGAACGACAGACAUGUCCGUAAGGAGCUUGAGGCUGAGCUUGGGAGACAGACGCAGCAAGUGCGGGAGGGGUCAGUGCAAAGCCAUGUCAGGGCAUGCAGUGACCCAGAGGAGAGAUUGGCUCUACCAGGCACACCCACGAGGGCUCCCUGGAGGUGGAGGCACAGUGUGUUUUGAUGGCUUGUGGGAGGGCUAAGUUUUCUGGGAAGGGAGAGAGAGAGCCGCCCAAGGGCCAGGCCCUGUUGUCUCAGCAGCCCCAAGGCACUGGAAGCCCUGGAGUGGAUGGUGGUGUUGGGGAAUUCAGGCUUCUGCAGGUACCCGGGAGAGCAAAGGGUGGACACAGUGGAAAUUGGUCCCAAGUCACCCAAAGUCCAAGAGUGGAAAGUGGAGACCCCUUCUCAGUAUCUCCCCAACUCUGUGUGCGGUACAGGUGGUCUCGGAUGCACUCCUUCUGCUGCCUACCCCGAAUGGCCCUGAGGAGGGCUGUUUACCAGGCACCAAUGCUUUAUCAUCUGAAAAACACAUGGCAGAAAGAAUUCAAGGGAGGACGGAGAAAACCCAAAGAUACCUUGUCAGGGAGCUCCUGCAAACUGAUGCCAGCAGGGCCAGGCGAGCAUGGAUCACGUGGACACGGAGGCCCUUUGUCCUGCUUCGUCCGUCCAACCCUAUGCCAGUGAGCUCCACGAAGCAGUGACGCCUGCAGAGACUCUGGCCACAGGAAGUGUCAGUAUCCUUUGGUGCAGCUGUGAAUGGUGCCCAGGAGCUGAGCGUCUUGUAGUGCCUGAAGCACGUGUCUCAGUCACAGUUUGGGUAAGUCCACCGGCUAACCCUAGCCAGAAUGAGUAAGAAAAAAAUCAAGCGUCUCUGGAGAGCUUCUUUGAAAAGGGGGAAAGGCCCAAUGGUGAAACAGCAGAAGACUCAAAGAAAGUUGCAUUUAAAAGGAAACAGCAAGAGCCCUGCUUCAAUUAUGGAUUCAUUGCAACAAGUGAUUCAUAUUCCCCAAGCCCUCUUUGCAUAAUAUGUGACCACUGGCUAUCCAGUGAAGCCGUAAAACCUUCAAAACCGCUUCGCCACAUGGAGACCAAGCACCUUGCAUUAAAAGACAAACCUUUAGAGUUUUUCAAAAGAAAAAAAAAAACACGAACACGAAGAACAGAAGCAAUGAUUGAAGGCCACCACUUAGUUGACUGUGUCUGCACUGAGAGCGUCACUCUUAGUGUCUAACCGCAUUGCUAAAGCUAGGAAUCCCUUUACUGUUGGUGGAGUUGAUCCUGCCUGCUGCUGCUAAGGACAUCUGUCGUGAACUUUUGAGAGAGACUGCAGUUGAAAGGGUAGCACGUAUUCCUCUUUUGGCUAGCACCAUAACUAGAUGAAUUGAUGAAACGACAGAGGGUAUUGAGGCACAAUUGUUAGAGGGGAUUAAUGAGUCACUGCGGUACGCAACCCAGGGUUGACGAGUCUACCGAUGUUGAAAACAAGGCAACAAUGCUUGUUUUUGUGCAUAUAUGUUCAGGAGGAUGUGCAUGAGGAUGUGUUAUGUGUGCUUCUGUUGCCAACCCACACCACAGCUGGUAUUCACGUCUUUGAUUACAUAUCAGGAAAGGUGAAUUGAUCACUUUAUGUUGGUCUGUGCAUGGACGGAGAGACUGCCAUGGCUGGACGGCUUUCUGGUUUCAUUACUCAGGUCAAAGAGGUCACUUCUGAAUGUGAGUCCACACGCUGUGUCAUCCAUGGAGAAAUGCCGGCCAGCCAAAAAAUGUUGCCUGAACUUAACAGCGUUUUGGAAGCUGUGAUUAAAAUGAUCAGUCACGUUAAAGUACAUGGGCUUUAACUCACAUCUGUUCUUGCAGCGGUGCCGAAAAAAUCACCUGAACUUAAGAACGUUUUGCAGGAUGUGAUUGAAAUGAUCAGCCACAGCAAAGUGCAUGCCUUUAACUCACGAGGUCUGUUCUCGCGGCUCUGUGAGGAGAUGGACGCGGUACACACACGUCUUCUCUGAUACACAGAAGUGAGAUGCUUUCCAAAGGUAGAUCACUGGCCAGAGUUUCUGAGUUAUGAGAGCUGCUCCAGAGAUUUCUUUUAGAAAAAUAGUCCCCACUAGCAGCAUAUUUCAGUGACAUAGGAUGAGUCGCAAAACUUGCUGACUUGUGCGACGUAUUCAACCUGCUCAACAAACUCAAUCUGUCACUUCAGGGAAGAAUGACAACUGUGUUCAAGUCGGCAGAUAAAGUGGCUGCAUUCAAAGCCAAAUUGGAAUUAUGGGGGUGACGAGGGAACACUGGGAUUUUUGACAUGUUUCAAACAUUAGCAGAGAUUUUGAAAGAGAUAGAGCCAGGGCCUUCCCUCUUCCAGCUGGUGCAUGAUCACCUA
This 4654-nucleotide long non-coding RNA is filed under the name Homo sapiens (human). RNAcentral describes it as "HSALNT0406367". Lineage: Eukaryota; Metazoa; Chordata; Mammalia; Primates; Hominidae. The record is from RNAcentral.